UUCCAUGCCUGGGCAUUUAUUUUAGAGAAAUGAAAAGUUACAUUUGCCCAUAAACCUGUGCACAAACAUUCACAGCAGCUUUUUAUGUAGUUGACAAAAGUUAGAAGUAACUCACAUGUCCUUGAGUACAUGAAUGCGUAAACAAACGGGAACAUCCAUGCAAUGGGGUGCUACUCAGCAACCGAAAGGAAAAAAAAUGGAUACAAACAUCAGCUUGGAUGGAUCUCAAGGGCAAUGUGGUAAGUGAAAAAAGCAAAUCAAAAUACACCCUGUAUGAUCCCACUUAUAAAACAUUCUCAAAAAUGACACAAUUAGAAUGAUGAGAGAUUAGUGGUCACUCAAGAAAGUGUGAAUAUGAAAGAAGUUUUAUGGAGUUUCUUUGUGGUGGUGGAACAGUUGCUGUCUUAGGGCUGCUUUGACAAAAACACAAAAGAGUGGGUGGCUUAUACCACAAACAUUUACUUCUCACAUUUCUGGAGGCUGGGAAGUUCGAGAUCUAGGAGCCAGCAGGUCCAUUGUUGGGUGAGGUCCUGCUUCCUCUUUGUACCCUCACAUGGCAGGCUUAGAGACGGAGAGAGAGAGAGAGGAAACAAACCCUUUUCUGUCUCUGCUUAUAAGGGCACUAAUCCCAUCAUGAGGGCUCCACCCUCAUAAUCUAAUCACAUCCCAAAGGCCUCACCUUCAAACACCAUCACACUGGAGAUUAGGGUUUCAACAGAUGCAUUUGGUGGGUUUGGGGGGACACAAACAUUCAGUCCAUAGCAGUUAUGCAUCCUGACUAUGGUGGAAGUUACAUGAAUCUACACGUGUGAUAAAGUUUUACACAACUAUAUAUGCCCCUCCCAAACAUGUAUGCAUAUAAAAAAUAAGUGAAAUUGGAAUUAGGUGUAUACUUUAGCUCAUAGCAUUAUAUUAUACCCGUGCCAGUUUUCAGGUUUUGAUAAUGCAUUAUGUUUAAAUAAGAUGCUAACAUCAGGGGAAGCUGAAAAAGGAUACAAAGAAAUUAUCUGUUCUACUUUCACAACUUUUUGGGAGUCUAAAAUUAUUUCAAAAUUAAAAAAUGAAAACAAAACAAAAAAUUCCCCCCAAUUUGCAGAGAAGUUAGCUAAUAUUCAAAUAGGUUAAAUAAUUUACACUUAUUUUUUAAAACCCUCAAGCCAGUAAAAGGCCAAACUGAGAUUUGAACCCCAGGACUUCUGAGUCCAAAUUCAGGGCUCUUUAUACCACAAUGCUCCUAUUAGCCAUGUGUUUAGCUUGAGCAGAUAAACAUUCAAGUGACAGCUGAAGGUCAUUUAAGUAGAUAAAAGAACAUGUUCAAGGUCAGGAGGUAAACAAAAGCAAGGAAAGAAAGUACAAACCAUCAAAGCCUGAUGGGCAGAGGAAAGCACGGGGCUGAGAGAACUGCAGCCAUGAGGGGGACAAGAACAGGGACAGAGGGAAGGAGAGGGUGUAGGUUGUGAACAGGAUGUCUGAUUUGAAGAUGGUGUCACUCCUGAUGAUGACAGACCCUCGAAAUAGCCCCAGAGAGGAGAUGAGUGGACAGAUCCUACUGAAAGUAAAGGUCUGAGUAUGAGAUGGUCAAGGAAUUGCGAGGCCUAAGAGUCAAGUGAGUGGUCCAUUGGGACAUUCAGG
RNAcentral lists this long non-coding RNA (1632 nucleotides) under Macaca fascicularis (crab-eating macaque). RNAcentral describes it as "lncRNA (ENSMFAG00000062948.1)". The record is from RNAcentral. Lineage: Eukaryota; Metazoa; Chordata; Mammalia; Primates; Cercopithecidae.